AUUGAACGCUGGCGGCAGGCCUAACACAUGCAAGUCGAGCGGAUGAAGGGAGCUUGCUCCUGGAUUCAGCGGCGGACGGGUGAGUAAUGCCUAGGAAUCUGCCUGGUAGUGGGGGAUAACGUCCGGAAACGGGCGCUAAUACCGCAUACGUCCUGAGGGAGAAAGUGGGGGAUCUUCAGACCUCACGCUAUCAGAUGAGCCUAGGUCGGAUUAGCUAGUUGGUGGGGUAAAGGCCCACCAAGGCGACGAUCCGUAACUGGUCUGAGAGGAUGAUCAGUCACACUGGAACUGAGACACGGUCCAGACUCCUACGGGAGGCAGCAGUGGGGAAUAUUGGACAAUGGGCGAAAGCCUGAUCCAGCCAUGCCGCGUGUGUGAAGAAGGUCUUCGGAUUGUAAAGCACUUUAAGUUGGGAGGAAGGGCAGUAAGUUAAUACCUUGCUGUUUUGACGUUACCAACAGAAUAAGCACCGGCUAACUUCGUG
RNAcentral lists this ribosomal RNA (484 nucleotides) under uncultured bacterium. RNAcentral describes it as "partial 16S ribosomal RNA". It matches the Rfam family "Bacterial small subunit ribosomal RNA", at positions 30 to 507 of the family's 1533-position model. The record is from RNAcentral.